UUCAAAAAUGUGUUUCUCCUCUUGAAAUGAAGAAAACAUUUUAAGCUUGAAGAUUAGGCUUGAUGGAGCUUGCAGGGUGUAAGAAUGAAGAGAGAAAAGAACACGCAAACCUGAACAGAUUCCCAGAAGUCUCUCUGAGAAAUGCAGGAGUCAUAUGCCCAAUUGUAAAAUCAACAAUAUCAUUAAAUAUGCAGUAGGAUGAUAACACGUAGAAUGAGCCUGGCCAAAAACCACAAGCCCUGGAACAAGUUCAAACCAAAUACCGACAGGAAACCACCCACCCAGGCAUAGAGAGGUUAGAUGCUCCUGCGCAAAAUGCAAGUGUGUCCGAUGACUGACAGUCAACUCUUCUUGGAAAGAAGAGAAUAUCUGCUUUUCUUGUAACACCAAGUUCAUUCAGCUCAGCCCACGAGAGGGCAUGGGGACUGGCUGACAACAUGACUUGCUAAUCAGAAAUGUUCUCUGCCUUCCUUCUAAACCUAAGAGGACCAAGGCAUUUGUAAACCUUGCUAUGAAUUUGUCAUUGAAAAACAACACCUAGGAGAAUACCGGUUUUCCAAUUAGCAUCAGAACUGGAGGGAAAGCCGCACAGAGAGCUAGGUAAGUAAGACGGGGAUAAAUCCUUCAAGGUAAGGGGCAUUUGCACCUAAACCUAGUUUGAGACUGUAAACCAAAUGCCAACGCCGGCGGACAUCCCGGGGUUUCUGCCAGACAAGUUUAAAUAGGACCAGAGCCACACUGGGUCCUCUGAUAGCUGAUUCACGAAAGAUGUUCUCACCAUUUGCAGUGUGGGAGGUAGUUCGCGUC
Molecule: long non-coding RNA, 807 nt
Organism: Felis catus (domestic cat)
Lineage: Eukaryota; Metazoa; Chordata; Mammalia; Carnivora; Felidae
Exons: 3
Source: RefSeq, a predicted model, not a curated record